UCGAACACCAGUGCUCCAGACUCCAGUAUAUUAUACUGAACAAUUAUACUUGCUGAAUUCUCGUAAAAUUUGUGAGAGUUCCAGCAUAAUUAUAUUUAAACUCCUAUAAAUUUUACAGAAAUUCCAACAUAACUAUCCUGUAACUCCGCAAUUUUACGGGAGUUCAAUUCUAGCCGAGAGUUGAGAGCAAAUUUGACCAAAGUUGAAUUUUCAAGAUGUAUACUAUCUAACAAAAAGACAGACAGUUCACUUUCAUAUAUAAGACAUUGACGAUGAGCAUAGACGAGAGUUUAGAACACAAUUGCAUCCAUAUCUUUAAUCAUUAUCCCAUCCAAAGAUAUUUAUCUCCACGCACUUGGAGAAAAGUUGAUUAAUCCACAUAUAGAAGUUGCUUGUCCAUCCAAAUUCAUCAUUCUACUGCCUUCACAUACAACCAAUCAGAUCACAGUUAAAGUUAUAAUUGGACAUGCAUUUUAUUUAAUUUUUUAAAAAAACUUUUUAAGAAGAAGAAAAAAAUUUCAUCUAAUUGAAAAAAAAUUCAUAAUUUUUCAAAAUUGAUCAUGUUCCAUGAACAGACAGUGUUUCAAUUUUUUUUUUAUUUUAAAAACUGCACCCAGAAUUUAUGGCCAAACGGGUGUUGCUGAAGAAUGUACAUUAUCGAUCAGGAUUUUAUCACCAGAGAAUGAGGUUUUUACAUGGAUGAUCUCUUUAUAAAAAUUAUUUUCUUAUGUAGUAUUCUUCGUUUAUUCCAGAAAUAGCAGAUUUUAUUACAAAUACAGCAUUAUAGAAAAAUAACAACUGCAACCCCUUAAAUGUCGUACCCAAUAUUUAAAGAAAUCGUUUCCAAUUUAAUUUUUUCCUGUUUAUGUUUUUCUCUUCAGGAAGUAGCCAUAUUUACAAUUGGUAUUUAAAAAAUAGCCACAAUUUUAAGAAAAGAGUUCAAUCAUAGGAUGCAUUUUGAAUUUAUCAUGAAUAACUGUUAUCGUUUAUUGCCAUUCCUCUUGUAUUAAUAUGCUGAAAUACCAUGUAUAGACGGGAAUAAGUGAAAAAAGAAAAAUUAUUUGUCUGGUUUUCAGCAUCUAGAAAAGUAAUUAAAAUUUAGCCACUUUUUCAUGUAAAUAUAAAAUUUAAAUAAAGACACCAUUAAAGAUCCAAAAAUAUUUCAGCAUAAUAUGCUAGAGUUUAAAUUUUUAUAUAUAAAUGAGAUUCUAACACAAUGUGCUGAAAUUCCAACAUGAUAUGCUGGAAGUUUAUGCCUAAGAGCACCAUAAUUCAGCAUAUUAUGCUGGAACUUAUCGUAUUUCAGCAAAAUAGUGGCUAUUUUUAAAACUUUGAAAACACCGAAUAUUUUUUAGGAAUUUUUACCUCCUAUAGCAAAGGUUAACACCUUAAAAUAAAUAUCAUUUUAAAAAAUUAUAUUCUGUAGAUACCUUUUAAGGUUUGUAACAAAAUUUUAAUAUUGGUUACCUCCUAGCCCUAAGUGUUACACUAUUUUCUUUCUCUCUCCACUUUGAUAUAUCACAUUUUCUUCCCCCAUUCCAUUAAAAUUUCUCGGUGUAAAUAAAAUCACAUACUUGCUCUCUCACGUUUUAUUCCCCAACAUACCAAAUCUCCCGCAACCAUUAGCGCAUAAAUUGACCCACCUCUGCCAUCAACCACCAUAUAUUCCCUCUUGGACCUCCCACCUCUUCUCACUUCCACCACCAAGGUUUUAUGCAACAACGAUGAAUGCAAGUAAACCUCUACAUCAACUAGAAGAUAUUGAAAACGCUUUUUUACCUGCCAACCUACACCUCUGCUGAGUACGGAUGGUGGCAAGGGAGUAGCACUUGCAUAUCUCGUAAUUGCAAUAAAACUACUAGUGGACUGAAAAAAUAAAAUCAACUUCAGAAGGGAGUCGUGUCCAGGCUUAUCUAGCCCAAAUAUCUUUUUCUUCAUAAAAAUUAGCAAUCAAAAGACAAGGCCUCAAUUGAAGUGGAAGACGAUAUAGUAGACCGGAUGCUAGGUAGAUUAUUUCGUUGCUCGACGACGGAUUCGCCAGAAAUUAGGGUUUGUUCUUAACAAAGACGACGGAGUAUGGGGCUGAGCAACUUGAUUUUCUGUAAAUAUAUUUCAAUAUAUCUUUAAUGUAUCACAAUGUAUUUUCAUGUAUUUGUUUGUAUUCAUUAUUUUUUUCAUUGUAAUUCAAUAUAUCUCGUUGUAUUCCAUGUAUUUCAUUGUAUUCACUGUACUUUUAUAUUUCAAUGUAUCCCGCUGUAUUAUAUGUAUUUUAUUAUAUUCACCGUCUCGUUAUAUGCCAUGAAUGUAUUCGUAUAUUUUUUAAUUAAUAUAAUUAUGUAUUCAGAUGUAUUUUAUAAUUUCUCUGAAGAUUGCUAUAUUUUUGGGGUAGUUUUUGGUUGAGAAUCUUCUUUAUAGCUGAAAAAAUAAAUUUUAUGUGUUAUAAUUGAGUUUGUUGAGUUAUAUUAAGAGUCUAUUAUGUAAAUUGAUUUACUUUUCGUUUUAAAAAUAGUGUAAUUCCCUAUUUCAUGCCAUGAAUACAGUUGAAUACAGUAAUCUGUCUAGCUGUAAUCCAUGUUUAACUCCAUGAAUACAGUCGAAUACACUCGAAUACAACAACUGAUUAGCUGGACUUCUCAGAGUCACGCCUAUUUUUGCUACUGUAUUUAUGAAUACAAUAGCUUAAAUACAUCACAUACAUAUUAUAAUCUCACAAAAGGUAUCUAUAAUCCGUACUAUAACAAAUGUUAUUUAUAGAUGGCUAAUUACUACCAAAAGAUAGUGCUUUAUAAAAAUUUCUCUAUUUUUUAAUUACUAGUCCGAAAAACUAGUUAGCCCAUGCUAUCUAGGAUUGAGUAAUUCCAAAGAUUGAGUUGGACCUUGGCCUAACUCAAUCCCCUAAAACCGAGCUUGUGGAGUGAGGAUUGCCCAAGCUAUAUAAUGAGACCAAAGACCUCAAAUCCCUCCGAUGUGGGACAACUCAAUACCACCAUCACGCAUAGGCCUCUGGAGCGUGGACAACAUAAAUAGGGAUCCAACAUCGGUAACAAUAAUUGGGGUGAGCCUGACUCUGAUACCAUGAUAAGAAUAGACCUUGGGCCGAACUCAAUCCUGUAAACUAGCUUGUGAGGUGAGAAUUGCCCAAGCCAUAUAAGGAGACCAAAGACCUCAAAUCCUCAUAUGUGGGACAACUCGUAAAUAGAUAUUCACCUAACCACUUAUAGAUAUAUAAUAUACUUAUAAUUUAUAUAUAAUAUCUGUAACCGUGCAUAGCCCAUGUAUGUCGGAUAAGUAAAUUAAAUAAUUAAUUAAUUCGACUAUUUGUGCAAAGAUCCUAUGAAUACCUUAAUUGAUUGUCUUCCUUCUAUUUCACUCUUUCUACUUGAAAGGUGGUGUCAAAUAUAAGGUGGGAGACUCCCCAUUUGAGGAGCAUAUUUGCAUCUGUUUUUGACUUCUCGUCAGGGGUGUUCAUAAAAAUUUAAAAAAAUCGAAUUAAACCGAUCAAGAAAUUAAUACAUUUUAGGUUUGAUUUUAUUUUGAUUUUAAAUUUUAAAAACCUGUUAAAUUUGGUUUGACUUUGAUUUUAAUAAAAAAAAAAAACCGAAACAAUCCGAACCAAACCAACUAUAAAAGUAGCUAUAUAAAUUUAUUACACACACACAUACACACACACACAUACAUAUAUAAAAGAAUUAUACUUUUAUUUAAAGUUUCUAAAAUUUAUGGUACAUAUUAGUCAUUUGGAUUUUAAGUCUAAUUCUUUAUAAUAAUCUAAUUCUUUGUCUUUAUAUUCUAGUAAUUGAUUAGUAGUUUUUUUACUAAGUACAAUAAUUUAUCUCAUGUUAAAAAUAAUUAAUUUUUAAUUCAGUACUUAAAUUAUUCAUCACUAGAUUCAAUUAUCAUCAGUAUAUCUAGGUGAAUGAUAGAUUUCUCAAAGAGCAAUUGAUUUGAUAGUGUUACAUCGAAAAUAUAGUCGCCGGAAUAUGCGUUUGGUAGUGUAUGUCUCACAGACAUGAGGGUUUGCUCAAGCAACCUCCAUUUCCAACCGAGAGGUUGUGAGUUCGAGUCUCCCCAAAAGCAAGGUGGGAAGCUCUUGGAGGGAAGGAUGUCGGGGGUCUACUUGGAAACAGCCUCUCUAUCCCAGGGUAAGGGUAAGGUCUGCGUACACACUACCCUCCCAAGACCCACUAAGUGGAUUAUACUGGGUUGUUAUUGUGUAUGUCUCAUAUUUAAGGAAAAAACCUAAUAAAUAACCGAAAAAAUCGAAAACUGACAAAAACAGAACCGAUAAAAUACCGACUUAAUUGGUUUGGUUUGGUUCCAAUAUUUGAAAAACCGACUUACUUGAUUUGAUUUCUUUUUAGAAAAGAACCGACCCAAACCGAAAUAUGAACACCCCAUCCUUAUGGUAUACCAAACUUGGGCACUUUUGAAUAUUUAUCGUCUAAAUGUUGUGACAAGGUAAUGAGAUUUGCAAUAUAAAAGUAAAAAAUCAAUGGUAAACUAUAUGGAUUCCAGAUUGUAGAUCAAGAACAUAUGAAACUUAUGCAAUUACACAAAGGCGCUACUCUACAUUCGUGCAGUAAAUGAGCUAUAGUGAACGGAAGACAAAGGAAAAUGAAAUGAAAAAGAAAGGAUCUUCAAAUCCAACGAGUACAACGUGAAAGAGAAAGCAAAUAAUUGUUUGGGGUGGGGGUGGGGUGGGGGAGGUUCAGAUUGUUCGUACAUCACCACGCGAUACAUGCGUGAGGAAAGAACAGAAUUAAUGGAACCAACUGGGCUGCGUGAACUAGGCUCUCAACUGUAAUAUUAAGUGCCCGCUUGGACAUAAAAUUUGAUGGAAGAUUUUUUCUAAAAAAAAUUAUUUUUUCCCGAAAUUAGCGUAUGUUCAUAAAAAAUUUAAUUUUCGAUGUAUUUUGAAAUUUUUUAAAAAUUUAAAAAACUAUAAAAAACUAUUUUUCAAAAUUUUCACUCACAAAACUUCAAAAACAACUCAAACUAAAAUUUUUGUCAAAACACAACAAUAAUUUUCAAAUAUCAUUUUCACUUGAAUAUUUUUUUCACCAUUUUUUCGAAUUUUACAAUUUUUAUGUCCAAAUGCAUGCAUCCGUUUAGACCUACGAAGUUUUCCCUUUUUCCCGAAAAAAUUCACUUUUUUUUUUUUGAGAUUAACGUUUGUUCAUAAAUUUUUUAAAUUUCAUUUAAAGAUGUUAACCAAUUUUUGAAUUUUCACUCAAAACACUCACAAAACUUUAAAAAAUAAUCUAAAUUAUAUUCAUGUCCAAACGCCAACUAAAUAUUGAAGUGGGUUUAAGUAAAGAAUCAAAUUGAUCAAAUUUGCAAAAUCAAGCACGUGGAUACGAGAUUGAGGAAUAGUUCACUUGGUAAUAAAUUCAUCUUCAACAUGAAAGAACAAGUUGACCAGACAUUAGUUGCAUAUUUUAAUAAUGUUAAUGUCAAGUAGAAAGAGCUGUGAGGGGAAAAAGUGCACAUACUCGGUAAAUUUUCGUAUCUUCAGUGUGAACUGUUUACUCAGAAAAUUUUUAUUUUUUGCCUACACAAAUAACCUUAAUUAUGUAAGAUCUCUUUUAUGUCUUAUAAUUGUAUGGGUUCCAGAAUUUUAUGGAACCACAAAUGUAUAAGAUAUAGAUCUACACAUAUGUAAAAUAAAAAAAAGCCUUACACAAAUAAUAUAAAUUGUGUGAGACACAAAAUAAAAUCACUCGUCCACUCAUCAUCCAAAAUAAAGUAUUCAACGUGGAUUAAGUGGGUACAAAAGUACUAAUGUACUAUAUAUCAUUUCCCUCUCUGUAGAGAUUAGUGAUUUGCUCGAUCAAAUCACACGAGCAUCUGGAAUCUUAAAUAGCUUUAACAUGGCAAGUGAAAUAACGAAGGGAGAAAUCAUCCUCCCAGUCAACAUGUCUGGAAAAAUACAAGACACCAAAUUUCAUGUCAUCGUAGGCGACAUGAGGUAUAAUGUUUUGCUUGGAAGGCCGUGGAUCCAUAACAUGAGAGCGGUGCCAUCGACCCUUCAUGAAAUGAUGAAGUUCCCAACAAAGGAUGGCGUAAAAACAGUAUAUGGAGAGCAGCAUGCAGCUAAGGAUAUAUUUGCAGUGCACGACUUGGCACAGGUAUCGGCACCAUCCACGUCGAAAAAGUCGAAGGAUGAACGGGUGGCUAAAUAGCUAUCAUACUCCAUACGCUCGGUUGAGCCUGAGGACAAGUGUUCAAUGAACAAGUGGCUGAGGAUGAAUAAGAAGAUUUACUCAUCCCCCGAGCCUUCUUCACCCCGAGGAAUCGAAUUCGACGAAGUCCAUGAUCGAAGAACUUGAGCAUGCCAUAUUGAUCGAGCAUCUUCCAGAACGAAAGGUAUACCUGGGGACGGGGUUAACCCCCUAACUCAGAAAAAAACUCAUUCAAUUUCUUAACGAUAAUAUUGAUUGCUUCGCCUGGUCCCCGCUUAGAUAUGAUAGGGAUCCCACCGGAGAUAACUGCGGAUCGACUAAGUGUCGGCCUCAGAUUUAAACGAGUGAAGCAAAAGAGAAGACCUCGGUCCGAGGUAAAGCAUGCAUUCAUCAAAGAAGAGGUAACCAAAAUUCUCAAGAUAGGAUCCAUUAGGGAAGUAAAAUAUCCCGAAUGGCUAGAUAACGUAGUGAUAGUCCCUAAAAAGGGAGAAAAACUUAGAAUAAAUGUAGACUACAAAGAUCUGAACAAAGCAUACCCUAAAGAUUCUUUCCCAUUGCCCAACAACGAUCAUUUGAUCGAUUCUAUGGCCGGUCAUGAGAUCCUUGAUUUUCUCGAUGCCUACUCCGGGUACAACCAAAUUCAAAUGAACUCGGAGGACCAGGAAAAGACUCUAUUCAGCAUGAAGUAUGAUACGCAUUGUUAUAAUAUAAUGCCCUUUGGGCUAAAUAAUGCAGGAGCCACAUGUCAACGCCUAGUUAAUAAGAUGUUCAAACAUCAAAUAGGCAAAUCCAUGAAAGUUUACAUUGAUGACAGGCUAGUUAAGUCCCUGCGCGCAGAGGACCACUUCACCCAUUUGCAGGUGACAUUUGAUAUCCUAAGAAAGUACAACAUGAAGCUCAACCCGAAAAAUGCGCUUUUAGAGUCGACUCCGGCAAGUUCUUGGGCUUCAUAGUGUCAAACAGGGGUAUCGAGGUCAACCCCAAUAAACCAAAGCCAUCAAGAAAAAUAUCGUAGUGAAUAAUGUGAAAGAUGUAAAUGGAUAACUAGACGGACAGCUGCCCUAGGCCGAUUUUUCUCGAGGUCAUCAGAUCAGAGCCAUCAUUUCUUUUCCCUACUCAAGAAAAAGAACAACUUCGCAUGGACUUCGGAGUGCCAACAAGCCUUGGAAGAAUUAAAACGGUAUCUCUCGAGCCCACCCCUGCUCCUUUCUAUGAAGGAGGAUGAAACACUCUACAUAUAUCUAGCCGUGUCCGAGGUAGCGGUAAGUGGCAUAUUGGUUCGAUAAGAGCAAGGUACGCAAUUUCCUGUCUAUUAUGUGAGUCGUACCUUAGGAGAUACUGAAACCAGGUACCCACAUUUGGAAAAGUUAUCUCUUGCAUUAAUAAGUGCAUCUAGGAAAUUAAAACCAUAUUUUCAAUGACAUCCUAUAUAUAUAAUGACUACGUACCCACUUCGAAAUGUCUUGCAUAAACCCGAAUUAUCGAGCAGAUUGGCCAAAUGGGCCAUCAAACUUGGAGGAUAUGAUAUCGAAUAUCAACCUCGAACGGCUAUCAAGUCUCAAAUUUGGAAGACUUGGUGGUCAAUUUUAUACGUGCCAUCGUACCCGAAGUAGAAAAAUAACUCUUGCAAAAAAUGGGUAUGUCAUCGGGGGUAUGGAUCCUCUUCACAGACGGUGCCUUAAAUGUGAAAGGAUUCGGGCUCGGCAUUGUUUUAAAACCACUUACGAGCAGUGUCAUUAGGAAAUAUAUCAAAACUUCUAAAUUGACUAACAAUGAGGCCGAGUAUGAGGCCAUGAUUGCAGGCCUCGAAUUAGUUAGGGCCUUGGAGCGGAGGUCAUCGAGGCAAAGUGUGAAUCCCUUUUGGUAGUAAAUCAAGUAAACGAGUGCUUCAAGAUUUGAGACGAUCAAAUGUAGAGGCACUUAGACAAACUUCAAAUGACAUUGCACCGCUUUAAGGAAUGGACACCUGGACCAUGUACCUCGAGAAGAGAAUAGCGAGGCUGAUGCACUUGCAAACUUGGGAUUAUCGGUUCAAGAAGAUGAUAUCAUUCUGGGGACUAUCGUCCAACUAUCGAAGUCGGUGGUCGAAGAAGGCCAUGCAGAGAUUAAUUCAACAAGUUUAACGUGGGAUUGGUGGAAUAAGUAAAUCGACUACUUGAAGCAUGAGAAGCUCCCCCAAGAUCGUAAUAUAAAAUACCUCCGGUGACAGUGCUAAUUCCUGGUUGAACUAGAUUUGAAUUUUGAACCUGUACUAGGGUUAACCGCAGAAUCUAUGCUUGUCCCCUCUUGCUGCACUUGCAUUUGAAAAAAUCUAGCCCUAUCUGUAGGGUGUGUUUUUNNNNNNNNNNNNNNNNNNNNNNNNNNNNNNNNNNNNNNNNNNNNNNNNNNNNNNNNNNNNNNNNNNNNNNNNNNNNNNNNNNNNNNNNNNNNNNNNNNNNNNNNNNNNNNNNNNNNNNNNNNCCGUGCCGCUACGGUCUCCAGUAAAUUUAUGAACCAGUAAUUUCCCACAAGUUUUACACUUAGCCUUAUUUAGUUCUCUUACUUGAGUAAAAGAAUUCCAAACUAAUGAUGUUUCUGGAAGUUUAGCAGGCUGUCUACUAAAAGUUGGAGUUUUUACAGGUGGGUGGGCCGGUACAUUACUUGAGUUAUGAACAUGACUAGUAGGUGUAUCAUCUAAAUCUGGUGCUUGGGUUUCAUCAUCAUCAUCAUUUUCCUCUAAGAUAGGUUCAUUAGGAUAAAAAGCAUUCAUAAUUUCAUGAUCUAAUCUAUCACCUACUGCAAUAUCAUGUAGAAAUUCACUAUCGGUAAAUUGAAAACAAAGGUGAUCACUAUCAAGCAUUACNNNNNNNNNNNNNNNNNNNNNNNNNNNNNNNNNNNNNNNNNNNNNNNNNNNNNNNNNNNNNNNNNNNNNNNNNNNNNNNNNNNNNNNNNNNNNNNNNNNNNNNNNNNNNNNNNNNNNNNNNNNNNNNNNNNNNNNNNNNNNNNNNNNNNNNNNNNNNNNNNNNNNNNNNNNNNNNNNNNNNNNNNNNNNNNNNNNNNNNNNNNNNNNNNNNNNNNNNNNNNNNNNNNNNNNNNNNNNNNNNNNNNNNNNNNNNNNNNNNNNNNNNNNNNNNNNNNNNNNNNNNNNNNNNNNNNNNNNNNNNNNNNNNNNNNNNNNNNNNNNNNNNNNNNNNNNNNNNNNNNNNNNNNNNNNNNNNNNNNNNNNNNNNNNNNNNNNNNNNNNNNNNNNNNUAACAACUUCAUAAUUUUUCAUGAAUUUUCAACAAUAAAUUAAGCAAUUGUAGUAGAAAGAUUGAAAGAGAGAUUGAUGAAUAAAAAUGAAAGAAUGAGGAGGUAUUUAUAGUUGAGAUAUGGGAAAAAGUGUAAUUAUAUAAACUUUGGGGGCUAAAUGACUAUUUUACAAAGUUUCAAACGGCUAUAUUUCGUUACUGUUUUUUUUUGCCCGCUAGGCCCGGCCCAGGCCCGACUGGCGGUCCCGGGCCUGACGAUCCCGGGCUCACGAUUUUUCAGUUUGGACUGGCCUAUCGCGGGCCUAUAGGACCAGCAGGCCCAGGACCACCAGGACAGGCCCACCAAACCCGUCAGAACCGUGGGCCCGAUCCGGUUCAGACCCGGGCCACAGUACACCCUUAGCCACAGUACACCCUUACAAGGGCAUAAGGAUGCCAUAUUAGCGGUCAAACUCUCUUCAAUUUAUUCUGCGUCAACUUUUUUUUUUUACAAUAGAUAUUUUUAUAUUUAAAAAUAAUUUAAGUUCGAAGUAAUCUUAAUGAUAUGCUUUUAUAGCAACAAAAAUUUCAUAAAAUAUUUAAAAUUAUAAAUUUUAAAAGUCUUUUUUUUUUAAAAUAAAGUUCUCGGUCAACUAUGCCAACAUAAUUGAGACGGAGGGAGUAUUUGGGCUCGUCCACCCCUUCCUCGCACAAUUAAUAAAAAAAAAAAUUGAAAAAAAUGGAUAGACUCAACUUUAAAAUGGUCCUUUGAUUUAAUAUUUGAUAAACAUUUGAAGCGAAAAAAGUUCAGGAGUGGCUAAAUAUGGAAGUCAAUAUUGGACGAAUUUAGGUGGCUUUACGUAUUCAUUCGUUUCUCUUUCCCCUUUCCACCUAACCUUGCUGCCACCUAUCAUUUUUUUAUUUACUUCUAUAUUUUUCUUAUGGGUCUUACUAUAUAUACCAGUAUAUAUUUUGUAUUUUGUGAUUCUUAAUUUCGUCAGUUAUUCUUGAUUUCUUAUCACAUUUAUUGCUUAUAGCACUAUUUAGUAUCACUGUUUAGUACUCAAAAGAGCUAUUCGAUAAUCGAAUUUAAAGUAGGGGAGGGAAAAGGAGCCCUUCUACUAUUGUUAUUCUUAUAGUAUUAUUUGCAUCUUCAAGGGGAGAAUUGAUUUUGUAGUCAUUCACAAAUUUGUACAAUUACUGUGUUACCAAUUUUUAUUCCAAUCAAAACAUGAAAAUGAUUAAAAAAAAGAAAGAGAUAAAGAUAUUUUCAUGAAUAACUUCCUAGUACAAAACACGCCCUAAGUGUUACGCCAUGCCUUUAUUAUCAAACUGUGUAUAGCAAUAGUAUAUUAGUUUGGAUUAAAGUAAAUAAUUACAUUAUACAUUUAUAUUGAAAACAAGUUACCACUAAUUUAAUUGCGACCCUUGUCCAACCAAUACUCAUGUUUAGAUCAAUGCCUUGUUCGCACAAUCCCACCUUAUCUUGUUUGAUCGGACUCUAGUUUUACCUCUUUUCUGCUUUGACUUAGGAUAUUUUCUGUAAUUUUCGGAUGAUCACUUAAUUGAUAUUUCGAUCUGUUGAACAGAUAACACAUUUCAAAUGUGGGGGAGUUUCCCUUGGUGUGGGCAUGCAACAUCACGCAGCAGAUGGAGCUUCUGGUCUUCACUUCAUCAACACAUGGUCCGAUAUGGCUCGUGGUCUGGACCUCACCAUCCCACCUUUUAUAGACCGGACCCUCCUCCGUGCUCGCGCUUCCGGUCUUCACUUCAUCAACACACGGUCCGAUAUGGCUCGUGGUCUGGACCUCACCAUCCCACCUUUCAUAGAUCGGACCCUCCUCCGUGCUCGUGAUCCACCUCAGCCUCAGUUUCCCCACGUCGAGUACCAGCCACCUCCCACUCUCAAAGCAACUCCGGAAAACACCACCAACCCUGAAGUUGUUCCUGAAACAGCGCGUCCAUCUUCAAAUUAACUCGUGAUCAAAUCAAUACCCUCAAAGCCAAGUCCAAAGAAGAUGGAAAUACCAUUAACUACAGAUCCUACGAGAUGUUGGCAGGACACGUGUGGCGCUCCACGUGCAUGGCACGAGGACUAGCUCAUGAUCAAGAAACCAAAUUGUACAUAGCAACAGAUGGACGUUCCAGGCUGCGGCCCUCUCUCCCACCAGGCUAUUUUGGUAAUGUGAUAUUUACUACUACUCCUAUUGCAGUGGCUGGUGAUAUCCAAUCAAAACCUAUUUGGUAUGCUGCCAGUAAAUUACAUGAUGCACUGGCUAGAAUGGACAAUGACUAUUUACGAUCAGCUCUUGAUUAUUUGGAGUUGCAGCCUGACUUAAAGGCUCUUGUUCGUGGAUCGUGGUGCACAUACAUUUAAGUGCCCGAAUUUAGGAAUAACUAGUUGGUCUAGGCUGCCAAUCCAUGAUGCUGAUUUUGGCUGGGGUAGGCCUAUAUUUAUGGGACCUGGUGGUAUUGCUUAUGAAGGUUUAAGCUUUAUAUUGCCAAGUCCUACAAAUGAUGGCAGUCAAUUGUUGGAUUGCGUAUAGGUGUUCGUAACACGCAGUGGAAGACAAUAACAAUCCAAGGUAGAUUUUCUCAUGUUUAAAAUUUAUUUACGUGUCAAAGAACGGAUCAAAUACGUACCUGGUGAAGAAAGUCUCGUUUCAAAAUUCUUCGAUAGUGCGAAGACUCUAUGCGUAU
RNAcentral lists this long non-coding RNA (12091 nucleotides) under Nicotiana benthamiana. RNAcentral's name for it is "long non-coding RNA (NBEN_LNC021990)". The record is from RNAcentral. Lineage: Eukaryota; Viridiplantae; Streptophyta; Magnoliopsida; Solanales; Solanaceae.